This is a non-coding RNA of Podarcis lilfordi (Lilford's wall lizard), 71 nucleotides long. The record is from the annotation of a GenBank genome assembly. NCBI's taxonomy places the organism in Eukaryota, Metazoa, Chordata, Lepidosauria, Squamata, Lacertidae.
AGACCAUGGCUCAGUGGUAGGUCACCUGCUUUGCAGACAGAAGGUUCCAAGUUCAACUCUUGGCAUCUCUA